AUCAUCUCUAAAUCCUCACGAAAUACAUACAAACACCCUCGGUUUACUAAUUUUUUUUUGAAGGCGGUGAACAUCUCCUCGAACGCUGCGGUGUUAGCAUUAGUGUUAACCUCGAAUACGUUCGCUGCUGGAGUGGUGCCAAUGUUGUCAUUUUCGAUGAUAUCUCCAUCAACACGAGCUUGGUUGUCGUCUGUUGCCACGUCUGAUCUAACGUUUGUGGCUGAGAGUUAGAUUUGAUCCAUCCCCGCCCCCCUCCUUCUAGCGCCAAACUGUGGGAACCAAAAUUCACGCCGUCGAUUUUUGUUAAAUUAGAAAAGAUAGGAAAUCCUAAAUUUUCCAGAGGUCCCGGAUAUCUGCUAAACUACACGCCAAGCAAUCAUAACACGAGAAACAUGCUAAGUAUAAAAUUGAUGAAUCGAAGAGAGAGCAAAGAAGAUCUUAUUCGAAUCUGGGUAGGAGCGUUUUGCAACAGGUAAGAGCCUUGGCCACAAGAGCUGUCGUCGAGUUCUAUAGUUCUAACAACCUAAGGCUUUGUAACCUAGUUGAGUCGCAGCUCGAUAACAAAAACGAAAAUUGCCUAAAUUAUACCCUAAGUUCUAAGUUUUCUAUGUGUACAAAAUUCUUUCUCUUGCACCUCUCGCCUUUGCAUCCCUUAUAUACUCCUUCU
This 667-nucleotide long non-coding RNA is filed under the name Brassica napus (rape). RNAcentral describes it as "long non-coding RNA (BNAP_LNC003189)". Lineage: Eukaryota; Viridiplantae; Streptophyta; Magnoliopsida; Brassicales; Brassicaceae. The record is from RNAcentral.